AAGUCGUAACAAGGUCUCCGUUGGUGAACCAGCGGAGGGAUCAUUACCGAGUUGCAAAACUCCCAAACCCAUUGUUUACCUAUCUCGCAAAAGAGCCCUGCCUCGGCGGGCGGCCCCGGGGAGGCCCAAAUUCGUAUUUUUAGUGUCUCUCUGAGCCUAAAGACAAAUAGUCAAAACUUUCAACAACGGAUCUCUUGGUUCUG
RNAcentral lists this unclassified non-coding RNA (203 nucleotides) under fungal sp. Its description in RNAcentral is "partial internal transcribed spacer region". The stretch from base 1 to 46 matches the Rfam family "Eukaryotic small subunit ribosomal RNA", at positions 1786 to 1831 of the family's 1831-position model. The record is from RNAcentral. Lineage: Eukaryota; Fungi.